GACGAACGCUGGCGGUGUGCUUAACACAUGCAAGUCGAACGGUAAGGCCCUUUCGGGGGUACACGAGUGGCGAACGGGUGAGUAACACGUGAGUAACCUGCCCUCAUCUCUGGGAUAACAGUCGGAAACGGUUGCUAAUACUGGAUAUGAGCUUGCAAGGCAUCUUGUGGGUUGGAAAGAUUUUUUUGGUUGGGGAUGGACUCGCGGCCUAUCAGCUUGUUGGUGAGGUAGUGGCUCACCAAGGCUUCGACGAGUAGCCGGCCUGAGAGGGCGACCGGCCACAUUGGGACUGAGAUACGGCCCAAACUCCUACGGGAGGCAGCGGUGGGGAAUAUUGCACAAUGGACGGAAGUCUGAUGCAGCAACGCCGCGUGCGGGAUGACGGCCUUCGGGUUGUAAACCGCUUUCAAUUGUGACGAAGCUUUUUGUGACGGUAGCAGUAGAAGAAGCACCGGCUAACUACGUG
RNAcentral lists this ribosomal RNA (466 nucleotides) under uncultured bacterium. RNAcentral's name for it is "partial 16S ribosomal RNA". It matches the Rfam family "Bacterial small subunit ribosomal RNA", at positions 28 to 507 of the family's 1533-position model. The record is from RNAcentral.